UACUAUUAUAUAAGAGGGGUACUCCGUUUACACCUGUGUGAGUCUAAAACUCUCACACUAAUUAUUGUCCAUUGAUCAAAUUUAAAUCUAAUGGUCCCAAAUAAUUUUAAUUAGUAGGUCACGUGAUUUUCUUUUACUCUUCCCCCUUUUCAAUUGCAGUUACCUCUAUCCUCCCACCACUGCUCAACCAAUUCUCUGCACCACCACUGAAUUUAACCUAGCCCCAAUCUCCCAAAAGUCACCGUUGUCUCUCUCUCUCUCUCUCGCCUGUAUGUGUUUUGUUCUCGUCACUUCAAGGUUCAAGUUUCAUAUCACCUUCUCUUGAAUAUUUAAUUUCUCAUUGUUUUCUAAAAUCCUAUAUGCACAAGAACUACCCACAAGGGCCACAACGUAACAUAUUCAUCUACCAAUCCACUCUGUUAUCUAUAAUUUUGAGACCUCAUUCUGGAGAGUGAGGCACUCAAAACACACACACUCCAUCAGAAAAUGCCACGUCAUCCUUUUAAUAGAAUUUACUCAUUCUCUCUCAUAUUCUCGUGGGACGUGUCUAUCACGCGCAUAACUUGCAUCUAGCUUUCCUUUGUUCAGUACUCUGUUUCAUGCUUCUCAACCAACCUCAUCUCUUUCACUCUUCCAAAUCUCCAAAUCUGAAAUCCCUAAUUUUACUCAUCUCUUCUUAAUUCAAAUCCUUAUCCCUACUUUCUUCAAUUUCAAAUCCCUCUAAUAGCGAUUCCAUCAAUCAGCCCCAAAUCUUUUUCAGUUCCCUCACUCUACACCAUUCGAAACCUUUUACAGUGCCAAUUUCAGAAAUCAAUUCUCUCAACAAUGGAUUUUAAUUAUGCAAUAUGAGAUUCCAGAUAUCGCAGAGAAGGACUCAUGAGGUUCAGAAGCACAUCUCGGUCCAAAUACAUUUCACCCCUUCUCUUUUCUUGGUUCUUCCGUUAGAUUUGAAAUUUUUCAAUUUUUCAAUUUCGAAUUUUGAAUUCCUGGGUCAAGUCAUGUUUCUGAGGUUCUUUCCCUGAACUUUUUCUCUCUGUGAUUAUGUCUGUGUAAGUUAGUCUGUGAUUCUUGGUUGGGAAAAUCACGAUCCAUGGUACUGGUCCUCAAAGCUGUUAAUGUAGAGAGGGUAAUGGACUUAAUUAAAUUCAGGUCUUGGAAAUGGCUGAAAUGUAAGAAUAAGAAUUUCAUUUAUUCUUCUUGGGACUGGUCCUCAAAUCCUCACAUUUGUCUGGGAGUGGGUGAUGUUUGAUCACAGUGUUUGGCUGAUUGCUGACCAUGAUGUUGAUCUUCUUUGGUAAUGUGUGGAAGGCUGUUGAGCUCAGGUUUUUCUGUCAGUGCUUUGCUGUUGUUGUUCCCAGUUAAGAUAAUGUGCAAAGGUGGAUCUGAAAGUAAUUCCCUGACAAUCCAUGUGAAGCUCACUGGUGUUUCUCCAUUUACCUUAAUACUCCAUUCCUUAUUGUUGUUGUGCCAUGUGGUAGCUCCCUGCGAAAUUGAAAUUAGCAUUGAGCCCACUUGCUGAGAUGGUCUUUGGGUAUAAUUGCUGCUGCAAUGUUUCCUCUUUGCUGCGGUUUUUAGUUCUUUUUCUUUUCUUCUUUGUUAUGCUAUGCUUCUUUGUACUGUGGGUUGUGGCACCCCUUAAGUGCCACCAUUCUUUUAUUCAAUUUGGCUUUCAAAAAAAAACGAUCCAUGGUAUAGUGAAGUGAGAGUUUUGUUAUCAGAAUACAUAGAAACUAUGCUUCUUUGUUGUUCUAAUGCCACUUUUAAAACUUUCUUAGUCCAUGUUUCCGUUGAAUUUCUUGAUGGCCUGCUUAGAUUUUAUUAUUUCAUGAAUGCAAGACUAAAGCAGAAUGCUGCAGAUUUGAAAUCUUGAAAAUGUUUUGGCAUUAUCAUUUGUUUAUUCUUGAUGAUUCAAAAGAUUGAUACUUGUUUUUCUGUUAAGUGCAAAAUACUAUCACAUUAUAUGAUUUGUAUAUCUCAAUAUAAUGAUGAUAAGAAAAAAAAAAUCUCUUGACAGUAUAUGAUUUGUACUUUCCUGUGGUAUUUCUAUUACAAGUGAAAAUGAACUUCAAUUAUUAUUUCAGCAGGACGUUACUCAAAUGAAAAGAAUAUCACAUUGAAAUCUUGGUUGUUCCGACAUAGCGCAAAAUUCUACAGCACAAGCUUCUCAACUAAGGAGUUGAAACAUGUUAAGAUAGAGACGUGAAAUAAGAUCUUGAUUGCAUUGAGACUUUAGCAUAUGUUGCAUGUAUAGCUAUUUAUGUUGUUAUAAAAACUUAAUUACAUUAUUUGGUUUGGUAUCAAGUAAACUCAGAUAAACAAUUUUAGUCCUAUGAUCAAUUUUAAUUUUACAUUUGAUUAUUUUUAUUUACUUUGAUAUAUCACUAUAACACUCGCCUAAAUAUUAUGGCAUAUUUCAAAUAUUUAAAACUUUUUUACAAUUACUUAAAAAAGUAUUAAAAAUAAAACUAUUAAAAAUAGUUUUAAAAUUACCCGUGCAUUUGCACGGGCUACUUACUAGUUGUAUAUAAUACGUUAUGGAAGAAAAUCAUCACAAUUGUGUCAUUGCUAUAUUUGAUGUAUUUAUACAUUUCUGGAUGAUAAAUCAUCCGCGUGUGUGUUAUAUUUUAAUUAUUAUAUUUGAUGGAAGAAAACAAUUGCUAUAGGCAUCUAAUUUAUUUUUUUUAACUUAUGGUUUCAGGUAAUGUACUAUGGAUAUGGACUCUAUCAAUUUUUCUCAUGUGAGUACCGAUCCUAACCUCAUUUCAGAUGAUAAAUUAGUAAGUUAUCCUGACUUUGUUGACACGCAACAAAGCUCUGUCAUUGAAGAGGUGAAUGCUCAGCCUUAUGUUGGAAUGGAAUUUGACUCGUUAGAAAAAGCUGAAGAAUUUUAUAAAUCAUUUGCUAAGAUAAAAGGGUUUGGGAUUCGCACUCGCUCUGGAAAAAAGAAUUAUUGCAUUUUCGUAUGUGUUAGAGAAGGUGAGCACAAGCCAAAAACUGAAAAAAAAAAAAAAAUGGUGAUACAGUACAAAUCAAGAGAAAAUGUUCAACCUUACGUAUGGGAUGUCAAGCAUCACUUACUGUGUCAAAGGAAAAGAAUCGAGACAUAUGGAAGCGGUGGACAAAGGAAGCCAAUAUGUGUAUUAAGGUUGAUGAUAUUGAUAUUCAAAGUUAUGAAUCAGAUGUUUUAAGAAGUAUGCAUGUGCAGCAUCAAUUUGAAAAUUUUUCUGACUUGGCAAAAAGAUCAAAAGAUGCAUACAAGUAUUUUAUACCAGAGCUUGAUCGUAUUUACAAAAUAGCUGUUACAAAGGAAGAUGAAACACCUGAUGCCAAUGAAGCUCCACCAAACCAGCAAGAUUUUAUGCUUGACAGGGAUGAUGCUGCAAAUUGUACUCUGAAUGACCCACAUAUAUCACAAACAAAAGGUAGAAAAAGGAAGGAUUCUGACAAAACGCCUUCAGCAGGAAGGUAUAAGAGUGGUCUUGAGGUGUCAUUGAACAAGACGUCGGUCAAAAGAAGAGCAUGCAAAUCUUGCGGAGAAUAUGGUCACUAUCAAACAACUUGCAAAAAGUCAACUUAGCAUGUCUCAAUAUUGAGGAUGGCCAGGAAUGUCAUAUGAAGAUUGUGAAGAUGAUAUAUUGCUGUACUGUGUCAUUUUUACAAGACUAGUUUACUGGACAACUUCAUUUCAAUCAAGACAAUAUUUAUAAUAUGUCCUU
Molecule: long non-coding RNA, 3716 nt
Organism: Lotus japonicus
Lineage: Eukaryota; Viridiplantae; Streptophyta; Magnoliopsida; Fabales; Fabaceae
Exons: 3
Source: RefSeq, a predicted model, not a curated record